GUUGUCAUAUAAAAGUUUCAUACUUUGCAUAUUUAUAUUUGGCGCGCAUUGCCAAUGGAGCGUGUAUGAGAGAUGAAUGAGUGAACGUAUGAAUGAGUUUUGGGUUAGUCACGUGAGGAUUUUGUUUACAGGUGUAUGUUGACCACGUGUUUAUUCUUUACUACUAUACUACAGCUGACCAAUAGAAGUUUACGACUGAAUUCAUUAAUAUGCAUGACUUUACUAACUCACUAUAAAUAGCAAAAAUCCCGCCAAUUCCCCAACCCCACGACUUUUACCUUCAUGGUAGACACAGUGAAGUGUAUCUUUACCUUACCUGUACAAGAUAUUUCAUAUAUUUUGUUAACUCAUAGUUCUGGAUACCUGGUUUUAUUUGAUAAUAUACAAUCCUCGAAAUAAAGAACCAGUGAAUACAUGUAGCUGAAAUCAG
Molecule: long non-coding RNA, 430 nt
Organism: Magallana angulata
Lineage: Eukaryota; Metazoa; Mollusca; Bivalvia; Ostreida; Ostreidae
Exons: 2
Source: RefSeq, a predicted model, not a curated record